GUGCCACUCGGCCUUCUGGCUAAGAUAAGUGUAGUGUCUGUUCUUAUCAGCUUAAUAUCUGAUAGGUCCUUUAUUUGAGGACUGUAUAUUAAAUUGAUUUUUGAAACAAGGGGAGGUGGUGGAAUCUCCUUCCUUAGACAUUUUUAAGGUCAGGUUUGACAAAGCCCUGGCUGGGAUGAUUUAGUU
Small nuclear RNA from Mauremys reevesii (Reeves's turtle), 186 nucleotides. RefSeq annotates it as U2 spliceosomal RNA. NCBI's taxonomy places the organism in Eukaryota, Metazoa, Chordata, Testudines, Geoemydidae. The transcript has a single exon. The record is from RefSeq and is a predicted model, not a curated record.